Molecule: ribosomal RNA, 138 nt
Filed under: uncultured eukaryote
Lineage: Eukaryota
Description: partial 18S ribosomal RNA
Rfam family: Eukaryotic small subunit ribosomal RNA
Source: RNAcentral
UGGUGGAGUGAUUUGUCUCGUUAAUUUCGUUAACGAACGCGAUCUCACCUGCUAAAGAGUACGACGAAUAAUUUAUUCGUACGUGAUUUCUUAGAGGGACUAUCGCUGUGUAGGCGAUGGAGGUUCGAGGCAAUAACA